This 497-nucleotide ribosomal RNA is filed under the name uncultured bacterium. Its description in RNAcentral is "partial 16S ribosomal RNA". It matches the Rfam family "Bacterial small subunit ribosomal RNA", at positions 28 to 507 of the family's 1533-position model. The record is from RNAcentral.
GAUGAACGCUGGCGGCGUGCCUAAUACAUGCAAGUCGAGCGAACAGACGAGGAGCUUGCUCCUUUGACGUUAGCGGCGGACGGGUGAGUAACACGUGGGUAACCUACCUAUAAGACUGGGAUAACUUCGGGAAACCGGAGCUAAUACCGGAUAAUAUUUCGAACCGCAUGGUUCGAUAGUGAAAGAUGGCUUUGCUAUCACUUAUAGAUGGACCUGCGCCGUAUUAGCUAGUUGGUAAGGUAACGGCUUACCAAGGCAACGAUACGUAGCCGACCUGAGAGGGUGAUCGGCCACACUGGAACUGAGACACGGUCCAGACUCCUACGGGAGGCAGCAGUAGGGAAUCUUCCGCAAUGGGCGAAAGCCUGACGGAGCAACGCCGCGUGAGUGAUGAAGGUCUUCGGAUCGUAAAACUCUGUUAUUAGGGAAGUACAAACGUGUAAGUAACUGUGCACGUCUUGACGGUACCUAAUCAGAAAGCCACGGCUAACUACGUG